RNAcentral lists this ribosomal RNA (689 nucleotides) under uncultured organism. RNAcentral describes it as "bacterial SSU rRNA". It matches the Rfam family "Bacterial small subunit ribosomal RNA", at positions 115 to 842 of the family's 1533-position model. The record is from RNAcentral.
ACGCGUGNGAACUCNGCCUUGGUGCGGGGAUACACUGGGAACGGGUGGCUAUACCGCAUAANNGCCUCCGGGGGAAAGACUUAUCNCNANGGGACGGGCCCGCGUUGGAUUAGGUAGUUGGUGGGGUAAUGGGCUACCAAGCCGACGAUCCAUAGCUGGUCUGAGAGGAUGAUCAGNCACACUGGGACUGAGACACGGNCCAGACUCCUACGGGAGCAGCAGUGGGGAUAUUGGACAUGGGGGGCACCCUGAUCCAGNCAUGCCGCGUGAGUGAAGAAGGCCUUAGGGUUGUAAAGCUCUUUCAACGGUGAAGAUGAUGACGGUAGCCGUAGAAGAAGCCCCGGCUAACUCCGUGCCAGCAGCCGCGGUAAUACGGAGGGGGCAAGCGUUGUUCGGAAUUACUGGGCGUAAAGGGCGUGUAGGCGGCGCAUUGCGUCAGGUGUGAAAGCCCCGGGCUCAACCUGGGAGGUGCACUUGAUACGGAUGUGCUUGAGACCGGGAGAGGUGAGCGGAAUUCCCAGUGUAGAGGUGAAAUUCGUAGAUCUUGGGAAGAACACCAGUGGCGAAGGCGGCUCACUGGCCCGGUUCUGACGCUGAGGCGCGAAAGCGUGGGGGAGCAACAGGAUUAGAUACCCUGGUAGUCCACGCCGUAAACGAUGUGCGCUAGCCGUCGGGCAGUAUACUGUUCG